GACGUAGGUGGCGAACGUUAUCCGGAAUUAUUGGGCGUAAAGGGUGCGUAGAUGGCCUGAUAAGUUAGCAGUGGGAAAUCGAGGCUCAACCUCGUGGAAGCUGGUAAUACUGUCAGGCUCGAGUGCAGGAGAGGUUAACGGAACUCCAUGCGGAGCGGUAAAAUGUGUAGAUAUAUGGAAGAACACCAAUAACGGCGAAGGCAGUUAACUAUUCUGUUACUGACAUUGAGGCACGAAAGCGUGGGGAGCAAAACGG
This 256-nucleotide ribosomal RNA is filed under the name uncultured bacterium. RNAcentral describes it as "partial 16S ribosomal RNA". It matches the Rfam family "Bacterial small subunit ribosomal RNA", at positions 524 to 776 of the family's 1533-position model. The record is from RNAcentral.